Molecule: ribosomal RNA, 433 nt
Filed under: uncultured bacterium
Lineage: Bacteria
Description: partial 16S ribosomal RNA
Rfam family: Bacterial small subunit ribosomal RNA
Source: RNAcentral
AACGAACGCUGGCGGCAUGCCUAACACAUGCAAGUCGAACGAGACCUUCGGGCCUAGCGGCGCACGGGUGCGUAACGCGUGGGAACCUGCCCUUAGGUUCGGAAUAACUCCCCGAAAGGGGUGCUAAUACCGGAUAAUGUCUUCGGACCAAAGAUUUAUCGCCUUUGGAUGGGCCCGCGUUGGAUUAGCUAGUUGGUAGGGUAAAAGCCUACCAAGGCGACGAUCCAUAGCUGGUCUGAGAGGAUGAUCAGCCACACUGGGACUGAGACACGGCCCAGACUCCUACGGGAGGCAGCAGUGGGGAAUAUUGGACAAUGGGCGAAAGCCUGAUCCAGCAAUGCCGCGUGAGUGAUGAAGGCCUUAGGGUUGUAAAGCUCUUUUACCCGGGAUGAUAAUGACAGUACCGGGAGAAUAAGCUCCGGCUAACUCCGUG